UCCUGAAGAAGCAAGGGAACUCAGG
RNAcentral lists this non-coding RNA (25 nucleotides) under Mus musculus (house mouse). Lineage: Eukaryota; Metazoa; Chordata; Mammalia; Rodentia; Muridae. The record is from RNAcentral.